CAGUCGCCGCGGUAAUACGUAGGUCCCGAGCGUUGUCCGGAUUUAUUGGGCGUAAAGGGAGCGCAGGCGGUUUAGUAAGUCUGAAGUUAAAGGCAUUGGCUCAACCAAUGUAUGCUUUGGAAACUGUUAGACUUGGGCGCAGAAGGGGAGAGUGGAAUUCCAUGUGUAGCGGUGAAAUGCGUAGAUAUAUGGAGGAACACCGGUGGCGAAAGCGGCUCUCUGGUCUGUCACUGACGCUGAGGCCCGAAAGCGUGGGUAGCGAACAGGAUUAGAUACCCCUGUAGUCCCUGUCUCUUAUACA
Molecule: ribosomal RNA, 301 nt
Filed under: uncultured bacterium
Lineage: Bacteria
Description: partial 16S ribosomal RNA
Rfam family: Bacterial small subunit ribosomal RNA
Source: RNAcentral